This is a long non-coding RNA of Oncorhynchus tshawytscha (Chinook salmon), 3645 nucleotides long. The record is from Ensembl. Lineage: Eukaryota; Metazoa; Chordata; Actinopteri; Salmoniformes; Salmonidae.
AGAGAGAGAGAGAGAGAGCACAGAAAUGAGAGAAGGAUAUAACAGGAGAGGUCUCACUCAGAGAGAGAGAGAGAGAGAGCACAGAAAUGAAAGAAGGAUAUAACAGGAGAGAGGAGCCAUCCUGUUGAAGUGUAAAUGUGUCCUUAAAUGUGUUACUUUCCACAUGUGUUAUUUUGUUUUAUAACCAUCUUUAUUUAUGUACUUUUCAGUUGUUCCUCGCUACAUAGCAGAUCCACGUGGACUGCAUUCACGGGUUACAAAAGAAUACUAUUAACAAGUGAGAAAUACAGAUAUUUACAUAUAUUUAUUUUUAUUGGUAUUGAAAUACAUUCUAAUAUUGCCCUGGCAUCACUUUAACUAUGCCAUUGUGGCAUGCUCUCCACAUCAUUCAAUUCAAAAUGAGUUGGUCUGCGUAUGCAGGUGUAUAGAAGCGCUAUACUUUAAGUACACAUUUGGACCUGUAAAAACCAAAGCUUCUACUCUGUAAGAUCUUCAUGAAGUACUAUGGAAGUAGUACAUACGAAGAACAUCAAGCAGCUGUGUUAUUCAGAGAUCCCUGGGAACUUAAUAAUCAAACUGUUUCUCACUCUGAGAAUACAAGACGUCCCCCUAUGUGCAUAUAUGGCUUUGCUUUGUGACAAUGGGUUUUCUUGCACACGUACCUGUAGCUCUGUGAGGUCCAAAGUCCCUGUGGCCAAAAUUCAUCAGUGACCUGAAACAGGUGGCUGAUAAGGUCAUACCAAGGUCAAGGUACUGUCAACAUCAAAAGAAGGUUUGAAUAUUGACAAUUUGUUGAAGAUUCGGCAGUUGUGUUUAUUGAUGAACUAAUAGACAUGCCUCUUAAUUAGGAACACACAUGCACUCAAUGUUAACGGUGAAGGACAAUCAAAUUCACAAAGCAAUGGAUAUAGUUUAAAAGUCUCACUGAAUCAAAAUAUUUCUUUUAAAUGUUUUAUUUUAUUUUGUGCCAAAUACAUUUUGUCUCAGCCUCUAUGAUCUUACGAUGCUUUAUUUGCUCAUCAUCAACCUUUAUUUAUUGUCAAUGUUGCUGUUUGCUCGUCAAGCCAUGAGCUCUCUAUGACAACGUGACGUUGUUUCUCCGUGUGAUGUCACAUUUGGUUUAGUUAAUAACAGUUUGGUCUUUGAAGAGGCUGCGCAGUAAACCGGAAUACAGGAACACUGAAUUAUUCUCAUCCACAAACCUCUCUGAAUAACUUCCUGUUUGGACCGGACCCUCCUGCUCUCUGUCUGCGGUGGCGCGACUGACUGACUACAUCGCAGACGUUUCAUUGCAUCAACCAAUAGUUAUGCGCCACAGUCCGACAUCAGAUUGCUAUGUCGUAUGAUGUGGUUAGCAGAUAUGUUAAACACACAAGUGUUGGGAUAUGGCAGGCGUCUGCAAUUUAGUCAGGCAGGAACGCCACCUAUGACUCUGCACCCCGGGUUAGAUCCCGGGCUGUAUCACAACCGGCCGUGAUCGGGAGUCCCAUAGGGCGGCGCACAAUUGGCCCAGUGUCGUCCGGGUUAGAGGAGGGUAUGGCCGGUGUAGGCCGUCGUUGUAAAUAAGAAUUGGUUCUUAACUGACUUGCCUAGUUAAAUAAAGGUUCAAAUAAGAAGGGAAAAGCUCCAUCUCAGGGUCCUCAUUGUCUGUGACCCUAACUUCCUGAAAGAUUGACCUCCCAGCAACAUUUUUUAACUGUCUAAGGCCGAGAUGUGUGUGUUUGUGUGGCCGGGAUGCUUGUGUGUGUGUGUGUGUUUGUAUGUGCAUGCGUAUGUAUGUUUGCGUGUGUGUGUGUGUCUGUAUGUGCAUGCGUAUGUAUGUUUGCGUGUGUGUGUUUGUAUGUGCAUGCGUGUGUGUGUGUGUGUGUGUUUGUAUGUGCAUGCGUAUGUAUGUUUGCGUGUGUGUGUGUUUGUAUGUGCAUGCAUACGGAUGUUUGUGUGUGUGUGUGUUUGUAUGUGCAUGCGUAUGUAUGUUUGCGUGUGAGUGUGUUUGUAUAUGCAUGUGUAUGUAUGUUUGCGUGUGUGUGUGUUUGUAUGUGCAUGCGUAUGUAUGUUUGCGUGUGUGUGUGUGUUUGUAUGUGCAUGUGUAUGUAUGUUUGCGUGUGUGUGUGUUUGUAUGUGCAUGCGUAUGUAUGUUUGCGUGUGUGUGUGUGUUUGUAUGUGCAUGCGUAUGUAUGUUUGCGUGUGUGUGUGUGUUUGUAUGUGCAUGUUUGUAUGUUUGCGUGUGUGUGUGUUUGUAUGUGCAUGCGUAUGUAUGUUUGCGUGUGUGUGUGUGUUUGUAUGUGCAUGCGUAUGUAUGUUUGCGUGUGUGUGUGUGUUUGUAUGUGCAUGCGUAUGUAUGUUUGCGUGUGUGUGUGUGUUUGUAUGUGCAUGCGUAUGUAUGUUUGCGUGUGCUUGCGUGCAAGAUACUGCAUGCCUGUUAAAAAAAGGCCACUGGAUAUGAUGAAAUUAGAAUGUAGUUUUGGAACUCCCGUGUCUUCACGUAUAACAAGAGAGACAGCCUUAGCAUUUUGUUUGGAGGCCAGGUGCUAUACUAAGAUGGCUCAGAGAAGUUGCAUUGAAGUUCAGUGAUUGGGCAGAAUAUUGCAAAGGCUCAUGGGCCAAAGAAAAUCAGGAUGCAGGAGCAUCUUUCUUUUCAACUCACUUUUGGUUAUAAGGGAACGGAAAUAUAAGGUGUGAAAGGUAUGCAGUCUCUGAUAGAGUUGUUAUGGUAAAUAUUACCAUAAUGUUGACACAUUAUGUUUAAUAUGAUUAUUAUUAUUUUAAUAUUGUUAUAUUGAAUUAUCUCCUGCUAUCAAUGUUAUAAAGACAUGUAGAUGUGUAUAGCAAGUUUGGGGGUAAAUGUUUUACAAAUAAAUACUUUAAUAUAAAUCUGUUAAAAAUGUUUUAGUAUGAAGAUUUUUUUAUCUGGGUUAUGAAUAAAUAUCACAACUUAAAACAAUGUAUUAUUUGUAUUGCUAAUUUAUACACCUAUGUCCGGCACCUAUGUCUGAAUGAUAAUUAAUCAUUUUUCUUGAUGAAUUCUUUGAUAGCAAUAUGAAUUAGCCGCUUGUGCUGUCCUUUAUUGGCAAAACAAAUCUUCAUCGCUGGUGCUGGUGACACUGCUCUGUUUCGACCAAUGAGAAGGGUGCUCUAUGGUGGAAUCUAGAGUGCCUUGCACCACGUUCCAUGACUAACACGAAUGCAGUGAGCAGUGUACUCACAGUAUGAUGAGUGCAAGGUUGGGGUCAAUCCCAAUUUAAUUUGAAAUUCCAAUUAAAUUCUUGAAUUCACUCAUGAACUGGAGAAUUUACGUUGAAAUCAAUUUGAAUUUCAACAAAUGUUCAAGUUUUGGAAUUGGACUUGGACUUUUUAUUUUAAAUAAUUUUAACUUGUACCUCUAUAAAUCCAGUAUACUGUAUCUAGGCUGCCUGAACCGUGACAAGAUCAGCCUGGGGGAAUUUAAUUGGAAUGGGAAUUUGUGGAAUUGUUGGGGAUAAUAUUGAAUUGGAAAUGAUGUAAUUAUUGGAAUUUACCUAACAUUGGAAUUGAGAGGAAUUGAAUUAUCUCUGAAUUCCAAAUCUGACCUGGAAUAUGAAUGGAAUUAAAUGGAAUUUACAGGGAGAAGGAAUUGAAUUAGAAUUAAAUUUGUGGAAUUAACCCCAA